RNAcentral lists this ribosomal RNA (253 nucleotides) under uncultured bacterium. Its description in RNAcentral is "partial 16S ribosomal RNA". It matches the Rfam family "Bacterial small subunit ribosomal RNA", at positions 524 to 776 of the family's 1533-position model. The record is from RNAcentral.
GACGAACCGUGCGAACGUUGUUCGGAAUCACUGGGCUUAAAGGGCGCGUAGGCGGGUUCGCAAGUCUGUGGUGAAAGCCUCCAGCUUAACUGGAGAAGUGCCAUGGAUACUGCGCAUCUUGAGGAGGGUAGGGGCGUCUGGAACGGUCGGCGGAGCGGUGAAAUGCGUUGAUAUCGACCGGAACUCCGGUGGCGAAGGCGAGGCGCUGGACCCUUUCUGACGCUGAGGCGCGAAAGCCGGGGGAGCAAACGGG